GACGAACGCUGGCGGCGUGCUUAACACAUGCAAGUCGAACGGUGAAGGGACCGGUUUUUGCUGGUUCUGGAUGAGUGGCGAACGGGUGAGUAACACGUGAGUAACCUGCCCCCUUCUUCUGGAUAACCGCAUGAAAGUGUGGCUAAUACGGGAUAUUCUGCGCCUGCUGCAUGGUGGGGGUGGGAAAGAUAUUGUUUCGGUGGGGGAUGGGCUCGCGGCCUAUCAGCUUGUUGGUGGGGUGAUGGCCUACCAAGGCGGUGACGGGUAGCCGGCCUGAGAGGGUGGACGGUCACACUGGGACUGAGACACGGCCCAGACUCCUACGGGAGGCAGCAGUGGGGAAUAUUGAACAAUGGGCGCAAGCCUGAUGCAGCGACGCCGCGUGAGGGAUGGAGGCCUUCGGGUUGUAAACCUCUUUCGCCAGUGAAGCAGGCCUGUCCCUUUUGUGGGUGGGUUGACGGUAGCUGGAUAAGAAGCGCCGGCUAACUACGUG
RNAcentral lists this ribosomal RNA (493 nucleotides) under uncultured bacterium. RNAcentral's name for it is "partial 16S ribosomal RNA". It matches the Rfam family "Bacterial small subunit ribosomal RNA", at positions 28 to 507 of the family's 1533-position model. The record is from RNAcentral.